RNAcentral lists this ribosomal RNA (481 nucleotides) under uncultured bacterium. RNAcentral's name for it is "partial 16S ribosomal RNA". It matches the Rfam family "Bacterial small subunit ribosomal RNA", at positions 28 to 507 of the family's 1533-position model. The record is from RNAcentral.
GAUGAACGCUGGCGGCGUGCUUAACACAUGCAAGUCGAACGAAGCAUUUAAGACAGAUUACUUCGGUUUGAAGUCUUUUAUGACUGAGUGGCGGACGGGUGAGUAACGCGUGGGUAACCUGCCUCAUACAGGGGGAUAGCAGCUGGAAACGGCUGGUAAUACCGCAUAAGCGCACAGUACCACAUGGUACAGUGUGAAAAACUCCGGUGGUAUGAGAUGGACCCGCGUCUGAUUAGCUUGUUGGCGGGGUAACGGCCCACCAAGGCGACGUUCAGUAGCCGACCUGAGAGGGUGACCGGCCACAUUGGGACUGAGACACGGCCCAGACUCCUACGGGAGGCAGCAGUGGGGAAUAUUGCACAAUGGAGGAAACUCUGAUGCAGCGACGCCGCGUGAGUGAAGAAGUAGUUCGCUAUGUAAAGCUCUAUCAGCAGGGAAGAUAGUGACGGUACCUGACUAAGAAGCUCCGGCUAAAUACGUG